GACGAACGCUGGCGGCGUGCUUAACACAUGCAAGUCGAACGGAAAGGCCCUGCUUUUGUGGGGUGCUCGAGUGGCGAACGGGUGAGUAACACGUGAGUAACCUGCCCUUGACUUUGGGAUAACUUCAGGAAACUGGGGCUAAUACCGGAUAGGAUCUCCUGCUGCAUGGUGGUGGUUGGAAAGUUUCGGCGGUUGGGGAUGGUCUCGCGGCUUAUCAGCUUGUUGGUGGGGUAGUUGCUUACCAAGGGUUUGACGGGUAGCCGGCCUGAGAGGGUGACCGGCAAAAAUGGGACUGAGAUAGGGACCAGAAUGCAACGGGAGGCAGCAGGGGGGAAUAUUGCAAAAUGGGAGGAAGCCUGAUGAAGCAACGCCGCGUGCGGGAUGAAGGGCUUCGGGUUGUAAACCGAUUUAGACUGAGACGAAGAGUGAGUGACGGUAAUGGGUAAAGAAGCACCGGCUAACUACGUG
This 468-nucleotide ribosomal RNA is filed under the name uncultured bacterium. Its description in RNAcentral is "partial 16S ribosomal RNA". It matches the Rfam family "Bacterial small subunit ribosomal RNA", at positions 28 to 507 of the family's 1533-position model. The record is from RNAcentral.